GCGCGCGUAGCUCAGCGGUAGAGCACUACGUUGACAUCGUAGGGGUCACUGGUUCAAUCCCAGUCGUGCGCACCA
RNAcentral lists this transfer RNA (75 nucleotides) under Donghicola eburneus. RNAcentral describes it as "tRNA-Val". It matches the Rfam family "tRNA". Rfam says of the family: Transfer RNA (tRNA) molecules are approximately 80 nucleotides in length. The record is from RNAcentral. RNAcentral also lists the same sequence under 2 other names. Lineage: Bacteria; Pseudomonadati; Pseudomonadota; Alphaproteobacteria; Rhodobacterales; Roseobacteraceae.